GGGCUGUUAUAGUAUGGGCCCUGU
RNAcentral lists this non-coding RNA (24 nucleotides) under Arabidopsis thaliana (thale cress). The record is from RNAcentral. Lineage: Eukaryota; Viridiplantae; Streptophyta; Magnoliopsida; Brassicales; Brassicaceae.